UAAUACAUGCAAGCUCGAGCGCGGGAAGCAAGCGGAUCCCCUUCGGGGGUGAUGCUUGUGGAACGAGCGGCGGACGGGUGAGUAACACGUGGGCAACCUGCCUGUAAGACUGGGAUAACCCCGGGAAACCGGGGCUAAUACCGGAUAACACUGGACUCCACAUGGUAGUCGAGUUGAAAGAUGGCUUCUCGCUAUCACUUACAGAUGGGCCCGCGGCGCAUUAGCUAGUUGGUGAGGUAACGGCUCACCAAGGCGACGAUGCGUAGCCGACCUGAGAGGGUGAUCGGCCACACUGGGACUGAGACACGGCCCAGACUCCUACGGGAGGCAGCAUUAGGGAAUCUUCCGCAAUGGACGAAAGUCUGACGGAGCAACGCCGCGUGAACGAUGAAGGUCUUCGGAUCGUAAAGUUCUGUUGUCAGGGAAGAACAAGUACCGUGCGAAUAGAGCGGUACCUUGACGGUACC
This 467-nucleotide ribosomal RNA is filed under the name marine sediment bacterium ISA-7131. Its description in RNAcentral is "bacterial SSU rRNA". It matches the Rfam family "Bacterial small subunit ribosomal RNA", at positions 49 to 479 of the family's 1533-position model. The record is from RNAcentral.